CCAAUAGCGUAUAUUAAAGUUGUUGCAGUUAAAAAGCUCGUAGUUGAAUUUCGAGAUCAGUACGCUGGUCGUGCCUUCGGUAUGCACUGGUGUCACUGGUUUCUCCCUUCUGAAGAACCGUCAUGUCAUUAAGUUGGUGUGGCGGGGAAUCAGGACUGUUACUUUGAAAAAAUUAGAGUGUUUAAAGCAGGCUCGCGCUUGAAUACAUUAGCAUGGAAUA
This 220-nucleotide ribosomal RNA is filed under the name uncultured Glomus. RNAcentral describes it as "partial small subunit ribosomal RNA". It matches the Rfam family "Eukaryotic small subunit ribosomal RNA", at positions 591 to 816 of the family's 1831-position model. The record is from RNAcentral. Lineage: Eukaryota; Fungi; Glomeromycota; Glomeromycetes; Glomerales; Glomeraceae.